This 268-nucleotide long non-coding RNA is filed under the name Setaria viridis. RNAcentral describes it as "long non-coding RNA (SVIR_LNC008961)". Lineage: Eukaryota; Viridiplantae; Streptophyta; Magnoliopsida; Poales; Poaceae. The record is from RNAcentral.
AAUGGUGGAACACUAUCUCCUGAAGGAUGACAACUGGAUAGUGACUUUGCUAAUGAGGCCCGCACAACAAUUUUUUGAGCUCCAAUGCGUGGUUGUCGGCCAAAGAUUGUGACGACAAGUAAAAAAGGACUCAUGAUGCCUCCCAAGCCUACUAAUUUUAUGGCAACAACCAUUCCCUUAGUCUUCUCGUCGGUGGAAUGAUGGAAUUUUCAUGUGCAGUUGGCUCCGAACUUCCUUCUCCCAUAUAUAUCUUGUUAAUGAAAAUAAU